UCAUAAACGUGAUCGAAUUGUUAGCACUAAUCAUUAAUUCUAAGAACAUAGCUCCCAUAGAUCUUAAUUGUUACUGCUUCCCCCCCUCACCCCCCUCAAACACCUAUACAAAUUCGGAGCAUGCGGGAAUCAAAUGUAUAAUCUCUUAUUCUCAUUAAUUUCAAAAGUUUGAACCAUUAAAAAUACACAAUUAAUUCACUUAAAGCGCAAAGACACAACGCCGAUAGAUUUCAAUUGUAACUCAGCCCAACUAGUCUCAUUUUAUUUGGAACAUGACUCAGUCAAACUUAGCCUCCCAUCACAGAACAAAAUGCUGACCUUUCUAAGCUAACAGAAUGUACCCCAAAUAUGUAU
RNAcentral lists this long non-coding RNA (354 nucleotides) under Ananas comosus (pineapple). Its description in RNAcentral is "long non-coding RNA (ACOM_LNC006220)". Lineage: Eukaryota; Viridiplantae; Streptophyta; Magnoliopsida; Poales; Bromeliaceae. The record is from RNAcentral.